This 373-nucleotide ribosomal RNA is filed under the name Serratia marcescens. Its description in RNAcentral is "bacterial SSU rRNA". It matches the Rfam family "Bacterial small subunit ribosomal RNA", at positions 73 to 446 of the family's 1533-position model. The record is from RNAcentral. Lineage: Bacteria; Pseudomonadati; Pseudomonadota; Gammaproteobacteria; Enterobacterales; Yersiniaceae.
GGGGAGCUUGCUCCCUGGGUGACGAGCGGCGGACGGGUGAGUAAUGUCUGGGAAACUGCCUGAUGGAGGGGGAUAACUACUGGAAACGGUAGCUAAUACCGCAUAACGUCGCAAGACCAAAGAGGGGGACCUUCGGGCCUCUUGCCAUCAGAUGUGCCCAGAUGGGAUUAGCUAGUAGGUGGGGUAAUGGCUCACCUAGGCGACGAUCCCUAGCUGGUCUGAGAGGAUGACCAGCCACACUGGAACUGAGACACGGUCCAGACUCCUACGGGAGGCAGCAGUGGGGAAUAUUGCACAAUGGGCGCAAGCCUGAUGCAGCCAUGCCGCGUGUGUGAAGAAGGCCUUCGGGUUGUAAAGCACUUUCAGCGAGGAG